AGUGAACGCUGGCGGUAGGCCUAACACAUGCAAGUCGAACGGCAGCACAGUAAGAGCUUGCUCUUACGGGUGGCGAGUGGCGGACGGGUGAGGAAUACAUCGGAAUCUACUUUUUCGUGGGGGAUAACGUAGGGAAACUUACGCUAAUACCACAUACGACCUACGGGUGAAAGCAGGGGAUCUUCGGACCUUGCGCGAUUGAAUGAGCCGAUGUCGGAUUAGCUAGUUGGCGGGGUAAAGGCCCACCAAGGCGACGAUCCGUAGCUGGUCUGAGAGGAUGAUCAGCCACACUGGAACUGAGACACGGUCCAGACUCCUACGGGAGGCAGCAGUGGGGAAUAUUGGACAAUGGGCGCAAGCCUGAUCCAGCCAUACCGCAUGGGUGAAGAAGGCCUUCGGGUUGUAAAGCCCUUUUGUUGGGAAAGAAAAGCAGCAGGUUAAUACCCCGCUGUUCUGACGGUACCCAAAGAAUAAGCACCGGCUAACUUCGUG
RNAcentral lists this ribosomal RNA (492 nucleotides) under uncultured bacterium. RNAcentral describes it as "partial 16S ribosomal RNA". It matches the Rfam family "Bacterial small subunit ribosomal RNA", at positions 29 to 507 of the family's 1533-position model. The record is from RNAcentral.